RNAcentral lists this ribosomal RNA (424 nucleotides) under uncultured beta proteobacterium. Its description in RNAcentral is "bacterial SSU rRNA". It matches the Rfam family "Bacterial small subunit ribosomal RNA", at positions 207 to 622 of the family's 1533-position model. Lineage: Bacteria; Pseudomonadati; Pseudomonadota; Betaproteobacteria. The record is from RNAcentral.
CAAGACCUUGCGCUCUUGGAGCGGCCGAUGUCUGAUUAGCUAGUUGGUGAGGUAAAGGCUUACCAAGGCGACGAUCGGUAGCUGGUCUGAGAGGACGACCAGCCACACUGGGACUGAGACACGGCCCAGACUCCUACGGGAGGCAGCAGUGGGGAAUUUUGGACAAUGGGGGAAACCCUGAUCCAGCCAUGCCGCGUGAGUGAAGAAGGCCUUCGGGUUGUAAAGCUCUUUCAGCCGGAACGAAACGGUCACGGCUAAUACCUGUGAUCACUGACGGUACCGGAAGAAGAAGCACCGGCUAACUACGUGCCAGCAGCCGCGGUAAUACGUAGGGUGCAAGCGUUAAUCGGAAUUACUGGGCGUAAAGCGUGCGCAGGCGGUUUUGUAAGUCAGAUGUGAAAUCCCCGGGCUUAACCUGGGAACU